Molecule: long non-coding RNA, 270 nt
Filed under: Cyanistes caeruleus (blue tit)
Lineage: Eukaryota; Metazoa; Chordata; Aves; Passeriformes; Paridae
Description: lncRNA (ENSCCEG00000003362.1)
Source: RNAcentral
CUUCUCUGGAUUUUCCUUCCUGAAACCAAAGGUCUCAGCACUGUGUGGGUUUAAGAAUGCAAAUCAGGCUGUAGGAAUUGGAGCUACUCUGGAUUUGAGCAGAGAAGUAAAGGAUGAGGUUGUCCUCCCUACCCACCUCUCUGAGUGUCAGCUCAUACCUGUGAUGGUUCUCUACAUCCAGUCUCUGGCCCAAAAGGUACCCUGGAGAUAACCAGCAGAUGCAUUUACCACAAAGAGAAGAAAUAAAAGGCAGCGACAGAAAACCCCUCA